Molecule: ribosomal RNA, 589 nt
Filed under: uncultured bacterium
Lineage: Bacteria
Description: bacterial SSU rRNA
Rfam family: Bacterial small subunit ribosomal RNA
Source: RNAcentral
CCUACGGGAGGGCAGCAGUGGGGGAAUUUUGGACAAUGGGCGCAAGCCUGAUCCAGCCAUGCCGCGUGUGGGAAGAAGGCCUUCGGGUUGUAAACCACUUUUGUCAGGGAAGAAACGGCUUUUUCUAAUACAGAGAGCUAAUGACGGUACCUGAAGAAUAAGCACCGGCUAACUACGUGCCAGCAGCCGCGGUAAUACGUAGGGUGCAAGCGUUAAUCGGAAUUACUGGGCGUAAAGCGUGCGCAGGCGGCUUUGCAAGACAGAUGUGAAAUCCCCGGGCUCAACCUGGGAACUGCAUUUGUGACUGCAUGGCUAGAGUACGGUAGAGGGGGAUGGAAUUCCGCGUGUAGCAGUGAAAUGCGUAGAUAUGCGGAGGAACACCGAUGGCGAAGGCAAUCCCCUGGACCUGUACUGACGCUCAUGCACGAAAGCGUGGGGAGCAAACAGGAUUAGAUACCCUGGUAGUCCACGCCCUAAACGAUGUCAACUGGUUGUUGGACGGCUUGCUGUUCAGUUAACGAAGCUAACGCGUGAAGUUGACCCGCCUGGGGAGUACGGCCGCAGGUUGAAACGUUAAGNGAAUUGACGG